AACGAACGCUGGCGGCAUGCCUAACACAUGCAAGUCGAACGAACCCUUCGGGUCUUGUGGCGCACGGGUGCGUAACGCGUCGGAACCUUCCCUUAGGGUCGGCAUAACUCCCCGAAAGGGGUACUAAUAGCGGAUAAUGUCUUCUGCCCAAAGAUUUAUCGCCUUUGGAUGGUCCCGAGUUGGAUUAGCUAGUUGGUAGGGUAAAAGCAUACCAAGGCGACGAUCCGUAGCUGGUCUGAGAGGAUGAUCAGCCACACUGGGACUGAGACACGGCCCAGACUCCUACGGGAGGCAGCAGUGGGGAAUAUUGGACCAUGGGCGAAAGCCUGAUCCAGCAAUGCCGCGUGAGUGAUGAAGGCCUUAGGGUUGUAAAGCUCUUUUAACCAGGAUGAUAAUGACAGUACCGGGAGAAUAAGCUCCGGCUAACUCCGUG
RNAcentral lists this ribosomal RNA (433 nucleotides) under uncultured bacterium. Its description in RNAcentral is "partial 16S ribosomal RNA". It matches the Rfam family "Bacterial small subunit ribosomal RNA", at positions 29 to 507 of the family's 1533-position model. The record is from RNAcentral.